RNAcentral lists this ribosomal RNA (365 nucleotides) under uncultured eukaryote. RNAcentral's name for it is "partial 18S ribosomal RNA". It matches the Rfam family "Eukaryotic small subunit ribosomal RNA", at positions 592 to 976 of the family's 1831-position model. The record is from RNAcentral.
CAAUAGCGUAUAUUUAAGUUGUUGCAGUUAAAAAGCUCGCAGUCGGAUUUUGGCUGAGAACGAACGGUCCGCCGUUAGGUGUGCACUGUUUGGUCUCAGCUUCCUGGUGAGGAGGUGUGCUUCACGGCCACUUAGUCACCGUGGUUACUUUGAAAAAAUUAGAGUGUUCAAAGCGGGCUUACGCUUGAAUAUAUUAGCAUGGAAUAACACCAUAGGACUCCUGUCCUAUUUCGUUGGUCUCGGGACGGGAGUAAUGAUUAAGAGGAACAGUUGGGGGCAUUCGUAUUUCAUUGUCAGAGGUGAAAUUCUUGGAUUUAUGAAAGACGAACUACUGCGAAAGCAUUUGCCAAGGAUGUUUUCAUUAA